UAUUUCCUGUACCCUAUUUCCUCCCUCGCCGAAACCUUUCCUCAUCUCGCGACGCCGCCUUAACUUUGCCGAUCCUCUUCCUCUGUCAUCUCUACCGUCGCUGAGUGCAGUCGUCGGUGAGUGCAGUCGUCGCCGAGUGUAGCCGUCACCAGAAGGAAGGCCCAACACUAGCCCCCGCGUCUCUUCCCUAGAGCGUCGACUGCCUCCUCUGUGCCCUACCUUUUGACCCAUCGCCGAUCACCAGCAAGAUCGCCCCAACCGACUAGCCACCUCGCUGGUGUGGAUUUCCCCAAUCGCGGUGAAUUCUCUCCUCAUCUCCUCUUCGAUCUUGCCUCUCCCAAUCUGGUCGCUGUCGCCCUGACGCCUCCUUCCUAUUCUUGGCUGUGGACAUAAAGCAUCUGUUAGGAGUCCAGCACCCGAUUUCACCUCUCCAAGCGAGUCCUAGCCAUCGAUUCAUCAUCAUCUGAUUGUGUUGGAUCCUUGCUCGAGGUCACCUCUCGAUCUCUCCUCCCUUCUCUCGGUCCUAAUUGUGUUGAUCACAGGCUGCUAGGCAUUAACGCCGAUGACCACAGAGGGUCAGAUAUCACCGCUUCGCUGUCUUCCUCCUCACCCGCAUCGUCGCUACCUUGAUGCAUUGUUCGAUCUUGAUUUACUUGCUGUCGGCCACUGUGAGCAGCCACCAGAAGAGUUGUAUGGACGUUGUUUCGAAAUGAGCACUUCGACAUGGGGAUUGUUUAGCACGAUCUUCUUUUGAGGUAGCAGAUAGAUGAAUCAAGGAUGCUUGGAGAGUCCUGACUGCCAGUCCCAUGUUACAUCCGAGGACAACUUUCUUUUCGGUCUUAUUUCUGUUUGGGUGGUAUAUUGAUUUUGCGUAUUUACUUUCUAACUAGUUGAUGUGGAUUUUGGAGUCUAGUAUGGUGAUGUCAGGUAUUUUGGGGUAAUUGCUUUGUUGAUUUUACAUUCGUAUAUUUUUUUUUUGUGAUUUCCACUGUGUUUACCUUCAGUCAUGUAGGCUGCUUAUAAAUUGAGUGGUUGUGUUUA
Long non-coding RNA from Zingiber officinale, 1041 nucleotides. RefSeq lists it as uncharacterized. The record is from RefSeq and is a predicted model, not a curated record. The transcript is spliced from 3 exons. Lineage: Eukaryota; Viridiplantae; Streptophyta; Magnoliopsida; Zingiberales; Zingiberaceae.